CUCAACCGUUUUCUUCGUAUUUUAUAUCAAUUUGAAGCCCUCAACAUGUAGAAUCACAUUGGACUAAUUUAAGGCUCUAAAAACAACUAAAUCUCACUGGAAAAAUUCCAAGAAAAACCGGCCAACUUUGAACUCAGUGAUCCUGAUGUCCAAAACCUUCAAACUAAGCACUCCGAGCUUCCUUAGGACCUCACUAAGCUCACUAUAAGCUCAAAAUUCCUUGAAAUUCAACAAUUCACAUGUGUAUGAAUAGUGAUUUCAAGAUGGGUUUCGGAUUUCACGUGAUAUCGAGGGUUCCAAGUUCUAAAAAUUAUACCAAUGAACUCACAAGCUUGCAAGGAUUCACAAACUUACCUUUUUGACGUCGAUCCGUGAAGGUUGGAGGGUUUUUGAUCUUGGUCCGUACAAGUCGAGAGGGAGAGAGAACAGAGAAAAGAAGAGAGAGCACGGGGGAAAAAGGGAAGGGGUCCAGUACGUGUAACCGGUGCGUGUGUGUGGUCCCUAAAAAACAGAUCACUUCAUCCCUAACCACACAAAACAUGCAUACCAACUUAAAUAAUUCUCCAAAAGUUUAUGGAAUAUGUGUAUUAGUCCAAAUAAUAUGUCACACACACACACACCUUAGUACCCGUCAAGGGUAAUUCCGUCAUUUCACGUCUUCGAGAAAUAAAAUCCCGGGACGGGCUGUGACAAUCUCCUCUCCUUAUAGAAUUUCGUCCCCGAAAUUCCUACGACCAAACGAUCCGCUUAAUACCUAUAGAAUAACCUUGGAUACAUCUCUCUCAUUCGAUCUUCUGUUUCCCAAGUAGCUUCUUCUAUUGAAUGGUUCCUUCACAAUAUUUUCACCAAGCUCACUGUCUUAUUCCUUAGAACCUUGUCUUUCCAAUCCAAGAUAGUCACUGGUUCCUCAUCAUACGUCAAAUCCGGAUUAAUCUCCAAAGGUUGAGGAGGAAUCACAUGUGAAGGAUUUGAGACAUAAUGUCGAAGCAUCGAGACAUAAAACACAUUAUGUACCUUAGAUAACUCCGGAGGCAACUCCAACCUGUAAGCAACUUCACCGACCCUCUCAGUGAUCUCAUAAGGUCAUAUGUACCUAGGACUUAAUUUGCCUUUCUUUCCAAACCUCACUACACCUCUCCAAGGUGACAAUUUCAAGAAUACCAAAUUACCCACAUCAUAAACUCGAUCAGUAACAUGUCUAUAUGCUAAACUCUUUUGUCGAUCCUGGGCCACUUUCAGGUUAGACUUAAUCACCUGAAUAUUUUGAGUAGUCUCAUCCACAAUCUCUGGGCCUUCUAACACUCUUUCACCAACCUCUAACCAACACAAUGGCGUACGACACACUCUACCAUAAAGUGCCUCAAAUGGUGACAUACCAAUGCUCGAAUGAAAACUAUUAUUAUAGGCAAAUUCCAUCAAGUCUAGGCGGUCAUGCCAAGAAUCACCAAACUGUAAUACGGAAGAUCUCAACAUAUCCUCCAACGUCUGAAUAGUCCUCUCUGAUUGUCCAUCGGUUUGAGGAUGAUAAGCAGUGCUGUAAAGCAAUUUCGUACCAAGAGCUUCUUGAAAAGCUACCCAAAACUUAGAAGUAAAUCUUGGAUCUCGAUUAGAAAUAAUAUUCACUGGAACACCAUGAUACUUCACAAUCUUCGUGAUGAACAACUUAGCCAAUUUAUUUAGAGGAUACUUUUCCCUCACUGGAAUGAAGUGCGCUGACUUGGUAAGUCGAUCUACAAUCACCCAAACACCAUCAAAUCCAUUUCGUGUACGAGGGAGCUUAUACACGAAAUCCAUAGUUAUAUUUUCCCAUUUCCACUGAGGAACAAGAAGUGGUUGCAUUCGCCCAAAAGGCUUCUUUCUUUCAACUUUAACUUGUUGACAAACAAUACACAUACUUACAUAUUCUGCAAUUUCCCUUUUCAUACCCAGCCAAUAAUAAAAUGGUCGAAUAUUAUGAUACAUCUUAGUUCCUCCUGGAUGCAUCGCAUAAGCUGAACAAUGUGUUUCGUCCAAAAUUUCUUUCUUUAAUUCCUCAUUAUUCGGCACAUACAUUCUGUUCUCCUGCAUAAGCAUGCCAUCUGAUUCUCGAAUCCUGAGGUCUUUCUUUUUCCCUUCAUUUCUCAAUUGAAUCAUUUCUUGAAUUUCUUCAUCAACCAUUUGAGCUUCAAGUACACGAUUAACCAAAACUGGCCUGACUUGGAAACUAGCAAGAAAAGCUUCUUUUUGACCUUCUAACUCCAACUUUACUCCAGGAGCUCUUAGUUCUGCAAGAAGAGGAUCACGACAAGCAUACAAAGCAUUGAGGCGACCAUGAGGUUUUCUACUCAGUGCGUUAGCUACUACAUUAGCAUGACCCGGAUGAUACUCAAUAGUGCAGUCAUAAUCACUUAGCAAUUCCAUCCACCUUCACUGACGAAGAUUAAGAUCAUGCUGAGUAAAAAGAUACUGAAGACUCUUAUGAUCAGUGAAGAUCUUACAUUUCUCACCAUAAAGAUAAUGCCUUCAAAUCUUCAAAGCAAAACAAUGGCUGCCAACUCAAGAUCGUGAGUAGAGUAAUUUGUUUCAUGAAUCUUCAACUGUCGAGAAGCAUAGGCGAUCACUCUAUUAUGCUACAUCAAAACACAUCCCAAACCAUUCAAAGAGGCAUCACUGUAAAUCUCAAAGUUACCACUAUCAUCAGGAAGUACCAAUACUGGAGCAUGAGUGAGACAAUAUUUCAAUUGCUGGAAACUUUGCUCACAAUUCUCAUCCCACUCGAACUUAACAUCCUUCCUAGUUAACUUCGUUAAUGGCAAAGCAAUCAUAGAAAAAUCUUGAACAAACCGUCGAUAAUAACUUGCUAGACCAAGAAAACUUCGUACCUCAGUGACGGUUCGCGGUUGUUCCCAAUUCUCCACUGCUGCUAUCUUUUAGGGUUUACUUGAAUUCCUUGUGCCGAUACUACAUGCCCCAAAAAUGCCACUUCGUUCAACCAAAACUGACAUUUACUAAACUUGGCAUACAACUGAUGUUCCCUCAAUUUCUUUAAUACCAAGUUAAGAUGUCGAAUAUGAUCUACUUUAGACCUAGAGUAUACUAGAAUAUCAUCGAUAAAAAAAAUAACAAAUUUAUCAAGAUAUUGCUGGAAUACCUCAUUCAUUAACCUCAUGAAAGCUGCAGGUGCAUUAGUCAAUCCAAAUGGCAUCACCAGAAAUUCAUAAUGUCCGUAACGGGUCCUGAAAGCCGUCUUAGGUACAUCAUCAUCCUUAAUCUUUAACUGAUAAUAUCCAGAUCUCAAAUCAAUCUUAGAGAACACACAUGCACCUUUGAGCUGAUCAACCAAAUCAUCGAUACGAGGCAAUGGAUAACGGUUUUUAAUUGUCACCCGAUUCAACUGCAUGUAAUCGAUACACAAUCUCAAAGUUCUAUCUUUCUUUCUCACAAAUAAUACUGGAGCUCCCCAAGGUGACGUACUAGGUUGAAUGAAACCUUUAUCAAGUAAUUCUUGUAACUGAAUUUUCAACUCUCGCAGUUCAGCUGGAGCCAUUCUGUACGGAGUUAAAGAUAUAGGAUCUGUACCUGGAAGCAAAUCAAUAGAAAAUUCCACAUCUCUGUCUGGCGGUAAUCACGGCAAAUCAUCGGGAAAUACAUCAGGAUAGUGCCUGACUACUCCAACUUCCUCUACACUGCUAGGAACAACAUCAUUUAAUACCACAUGGGCUAAGUAUCCUUGACAACCCUUUGAUAGUAACUUCUUUGCUCUCAUGGCAGAAAUAACACCAUGUCUCACCCCAUUUCUUUCACCCACAAAAGUAACCUCUGGUAAUCCUGGACGAUAAAAGGUAACAGAUUUCCCGUAACAAUCUAUAUGGGCACGAUUAUAAUGCAACCAAUAUGCCCCUAGAAUCACAUCAAAAUCCACAAUAUCUAACGGGAUAAGAUUAUCUGGCAUAACUACACAUUCUACCAUCACUGGACACCCAGGAUAAACACUAUCAACAUAACAUUUGUCCCCUCUAAGCAUGACAAACUCUAAAUCAAAUCCUAGAAGCGAAGGGUGAGGUUGAGUCAUUUGAGCAAACGUAUGAGAAAUCACAGAAUGUGUUGCACCACAAUCAAUCAAAACUCUAGCAAAAUGACCAAGAAUAUUUAACGUACCCAUGAUGUCUAAAGUUACAACGGCGGCACAAUGGAGCACCAGAACCACCAACACUACCAAAAUCUCUCUGUCUCUGAAAUCUGGGCCUGCCAACAAAUCUUCCACCUCUCAUUGGGCCUGUGACACUAAAUCCUCCAUUGGAAGAACUCGAACUCGCUUCACUUUUCUUGAAAUUCUGCGUCUUACGAGGUCCCUGAGUGGAGAUACCCUUGCCCUUAUCAUCUUUCUUCUGACUAUCAUUCUUGUCCUCAUCAUCCUCACUAUCACUAGGAAGGUUAUCAGAAUUCUCCAUCCGAACCAAAAUCUCGAAAAACUCAUGAUAAUCAUUGCAAGGAAGCGCACUAGCAAAAGUCCGCCAUUUCCUCUUAGUUCCCAGCUUAAAACGGCGAAGCAUCUCUACCUGAUUACCAGCUGUAUCAGGAUCAUAACGAGACAAGUCUGUAAACUUCCUGUAAUACUCAUGCGCCGACAUAUUCUUUUGCUUUAACCGAGUGAACUCCUACUUCUUGCGAUCAAUGUACUCCGGAGGGACAAAUCUUUUCUUAAAAUGUUCCUUGAAUACUUCCCAAUCAGCUGCCAUCUCAGGGGACAUAAACUGAGUUUGAUUUUUCCACCAAGCUGCAAGCUCUUGUCCCAAAAACCAAGUAGUGGUCUCAACCCAUCUAUUAGCAGGAAAAUUCCCUUGACUCUGCAUCACCUGAAAAGUCAUCUCAAUAUGGUCUAGCCAUUUUUCUGCCCCUUCAUGACCUUCAUUACCCAUGAAACGAUCUAAUUUCAGAUUAUACAUAGUUUCCAAGGGUGUCCUCUGCGGAGGAGGAGGAUGGCGGAUUGUAUUCUGAAAGGCCUGGGCCAUCGCUUCCCCUAAUUGAGUUAUAUCAGGGAAAUUAGGUUCAUGAGCACGACAUGACUCCCUACGAGGCGGCAUAAUUCUGACAGAAAACAUCAAAAGAUCAUUAGAGCAUUAACAAUUAGACAGGACUGCAACCUAGGCUCCGAUACCAAACUGACACACCCUGAUCCUAGAAUCAAGGCGUGCUAGCCGUCACGUGAGUGUGACAUAACCAAAAGUGCGGUGCGGAAGCAAAGGAUAUGAGAAAUACGAAGGAAUAAAAACCAACUACUAGCAGUAAUAUCCAACUGGCAUACUAGAGAGAGUUUAAGUGUGCAGUACACAAUUUCAGAGCAUAAAAGAAACUAGGUGCAGUCAAGUAGGACAAUAAUUAAGUUACAACACCCGCAGGUGAGUCCUACAUGCAGGAAGUCUGUCAGAACGUCGAAGAAAACCUCGUGAGCCACCAACUGCUAACUAGAACCUGGAGGGGCGCAAAAACAAAAUUGAGUAGGUCAGUAAAACCAAAGUUUUCCAAAGCAUUUCAUUUAAAACAUCUCUAACCCCUCACUGUAAAACCUGUAUACUUUCCUAGAAAAUAAUAUAAUAGUAUAUAAAACCCCAUACGUCACAAAUCACCAAUCCAUCACAAAUCCAGGAACAUGCCAUGCCAUAAAUGUCAAUAACAAAACAUGGAUGCAUCAAAAUAGCAGGUGACAUAAUGAAUCAACCGGAGACCCUGCAGUUGGUCCUGUACGGUUAAUUCCAUAGCUCAAUAUCCAACCCAGCCGGAGUCACCACGAUGACCUGUACGGCACUACUUUGCACAUAAGUCGGAACUACCUGAAGUAGUCUGUACGACAAGAAUGGUGUAAUAAUACGCCCUAGUGCUUCUCACAUCAAUCAUCUGCGUGCGUAAUCUAAGGUCACCUACUAGUCGGAACCACCUCUAGUGGUCUGUACGACUAGCAUGUUGGAACCCUCACAUGGCCUGUACGAUAUGCACCUACUUGGAUCCAAGGUGAGCGUGCGGUGCGGUGAAUAAUAUAAGCACUAACACCAUGGGUGCAGGUUAUGAGCUCUCAACACAAUUCACAUCAUUAAUGAUUCACAUGAUUAACAUAAAACUCACCUGAUACUCACCUGUGCGUCCACAACACCAAUUCACAUAUACAUAUGCAUCAAUAUCAAUUCAUAUAAUUCAUAAUAUGCAUGCAUGGCGUUUGAAAACAUACUUUCAUAUAAAUUCAAUUUCUGGGAAAAUCAAUAAUAUAUAGGUAUAUACGGAAAACAAAACUGCCCACUCACUGGUAAGUCGAUGGGUCGUAACCCCCAUGACGUCCCUGGAUGCGCUCGUCCUCGGGAUAUGUGUCACCUAUAUGCGAAACAACUAUAAAAAUGUUAAUUUCAUGCACAUAACCAACAAUUCGAAAUAACUUCUCAUAUAGUGCUCAAUUUGGGUAUAUGAAUAUACCACAUCGACCUACUCGACAUCACGGACGUCGAGAAAUUUUUAGAAAUUUUUUUUGAAGCGGCACGCGCCUCCACACGCCUGGACAAGCACGGGUUCACGCGCCCCCACGCGCGUCUUCUUCCUCGAGCUUGCCGGACUGAGUUUUCCGGUGGCUGGAAAACUGGAGAUUUUUCAAUCUCCUUAUUCUCCGUCGUUUCUCAACCGUUUUCUUCGUAUUUUAUAUCAAUUUGAAGCCCUCAACAUGUAGAAUCACAUUGGACUAAUUUAAGGCUCUAAAAACAACUAAAUCUCACUGGAAAAAUUCCAAGAAAAACCGGCCAACUUUGAACUCAGUGAUCCCGACGUCCAAAACCUUCAAACUAAGCACUCCGAGAUUCCUUAGGACCUCACUAAGCUCACUAUAAGCUCAAAAUUCCCUGAAAUUCAACAAUUCACGUGUGCAUGAACAGUGAUUUCAAGAUGGGUUUCGGAUUUCACGUGAUAUCGAGGGUUCCAAGUUCUAAAAAUUAUACCAAUGAACUCACAAGCUUGCAAGGAUUCACAAACUUACCUUUUUUACGUCGAUCCGUGAAGGUUGGAGGGUUUUUGAUCUUAGUCCAUACAAGU
RNAcentral lists this long non-coding RNA (7047 nucleotides) under Malus domestica (apple). Its description in RNAcentral is "long non-coding RNA (MDOM_LNC007737)". Lineage: Eukaryota; Viridiplantae; Streptophyta; Magnoliopsida; Rosales; Rosaceae. The record is from RNAcentral.